This 369-nucleotide RNase P RNA is filed under the name Weissella diestrammenae. RNAcentral describes it as "Bacterial RNase P class B". It matches the Rfam family "Bacterial RNase P class B". From Rfam's summary of the family: Ribonuclease P (RNase P) is a ubiquitous endoribonuclease, found in archaea, bacteria and eukarya as well as chloroplasts and mitochondria. The record is from Rfam by way of RNAcentral. Lineage: Bacteria; Bacillati; Bacillota; Bacilli; Lactobacillales; Lactobacillaceae.
GUUGGUGGGUAAUUGCGUGUUGCUGAUGUAACAUGAGGAAAGUCCAUGCUCGCACUGACUGUGAUGUCAGUAGUGUUCGUGCUAGCUGAAAAAAUAAGGCUAGGCAGCCAGAAAUGGUUGACGGCCAAUGAAAGACCUAAAGGUAACUAUGGUUGAGUAGUUGUGAAAGUGCCACAGAAACGAGCCAGUGUAGAAAUAUAUUGGAUGGAACGCGGUAAACCCCUCGAGCGGGCAACCCAAACUUUGGUAGGGGCGCUUGAUCUAGUGAACUGAAACGAUGAUCGGGGAGACUUAAUUGUCUGAGAUAGAUGAUUACCACUACUUAAUUAAUUGCCAAUUUUUAAGUAGAACAAAACAUGGCUUAUAGCU